This is a long non-coding RNA of Gavia stellata (red-throated loon), 1659 nucleotides long. RefSeq lists it as uncharacterized. The record is from RefSeq and is a predicted model, not a curated record. NCBI's taxonomy places the organism in Eukaryota, Metazoa, Chordata, Aves, Gaviiformes, Gaviidae. The transcript is spliced from 3 exons.
AAAAAAAAGAAAAAAAAAGAGCAGUAAUACUGGGUGGUUGAUUUGUUUUUAGCAGACUUGGCUUCAUUUUUGUCUUUAAAAAAUGGCCAGCAUAAAUGCUGUUUAUAUUCACGUUUUCCUAGGUGUGUGUGUGCAGGCCACAGCAGCAUGCCCUUGGUGUAGUCAGUGCCGAAGGGGGUCUGUUCCUUCUUGAGCCUGCCCGCAGGGAUGGUCUCCUCUUUUAAAGCAGGUUGUGUACAACUUUCAGUACACUGAAGGUAAGCUAACCCAUCAACAUCACUGGUGUUUAAGCUGUUAUUUUACUGGAACAACUGACAAAUGAGAGACAAUAGCAUUGUGGCAGAAUUCCCUGCAUGUGUGAUAAAUGAUCUUGUUUUAUUUUCUGGCAUUGCAACCGUGGCAUAGUUACAACUUCUGUUCUGUUCAUCACAUUUAAAAUUUUGAGAGUGCGCACUUGAUGGAUAGAGCGCCUUCAGUGUACUGUUUCUUAUUACUUUAAUUUUUUUAAUCAACUUGCUAUAUAGACUUUGUAUACAUUUUGUUAAAUACAAUUCACUAUGACAUAGAACCAAUACUUACAGAAGAGUUUUCAUUUAGUAAUUACCUAUGUUGGGAUCUCAUUCGAAAGACCUUACAUCUAAAGGAUAGCUAGACAACAUAAUGAAAUUUUUAACUAUUUGUAUGUCAUUUUGAAAGUGUACUGCUUUAUGCUAAAAGUGUUUCAUUUGUUCAUUGUUUUCAUUAUUUGUGAUCAUGUUGUCUUUCAAUACAGGCAUAAACCUUCCACUCUUGAACAAAGCAGCUGCUUUUUAAAAGCGGUAAUUGCUUCUUUACCUUUUAUUUCUUUUGUAAAUGAAGCUUUUCUUUAAGAAAUGUGACUUUAAAGUGUUGUCUCUUGCAUAAAACAGUUGACACUUACUUAUUGUAAAGUGAAGAUUGUUCUGCUGCAUGUAAAGUGGACCAUGCAGAUUCCUGUAUGUUUUCAGUAUGCAUCAUUAGAUAAUAAAGUCUUUUGUGAACAAGGCAUUUGUAGCCAUUUUUAAAAGAAUCUGUCUUCAGUGAUGGUAAAUCAGGUAAUUCGUAAGAACCACCCCUGCAUUUCCUAUUAAUCAUUUAAUUAAAGGGAUUAUUAAACGUUACGAUCUUUGGGAGAGCUAUAGGCUAUAUUAAUUCAAUAUAUAAUUAUCACUGUUUAAACAAAAACAAAGCAAAAAACCCUACAGAUAAUGUCUGUCUGCUUUCAUUGUAAUUAAAUUAUUCCUGUAGGACAUGGGAUUAAGUUCAGGCUUUAACUAAUGUUUGUGCUGUUUUUCUCACUUUUCCUUUUGAUGGUGCUGAAAGAGAAAAAGGAAAGCGAGUCACAGGCCACUCAACGCCUACUCCAUGGGUCUGAUUUGCUGAGACACCAACUUCACCUUCCUAACAAGGUGCAGUUCAAAAGAAGAUGAUGGCUACCAGAAGACAUGAACAAAGGGUAAGUGGCAUUAAACCUCUGAAGAACCUUUAUGUGUAUAUUGACCCAUACACAGAAGGCAGACCGGUCUGUGAUACUACUGGAGAUAGAGCGAUCUUCUACAGUAUGUGUAAAGUUGUAACUUGGGUGGAGGAUGUUGGGAAGUGGCAAUGGCUUGAAAUUAAUAAAGUAUGCUUAAAACUUAA